CCUACGGGAGGCAGCAGUGAGGAAUAUUGGUCAAUGGGCGAGAGCCUGAACCAGCCAAGUCGCGUGAGGGAGUACUGCCCUAUGGGUUGUAAACUUCUUUUAUAUGGGAAUAAAAUGUUCCACGUGUGGGAUUUUGUAUGUACCAUAUGAAUAAGGAUCGGCUAACUCCGUGCCAUCAGCCGCGGUAAUACGGAGGAUCCGAGCGUUAUCCGGAUUGAGUGGGUUUAAAGGGAGCGUAGGUGGAUUGUUAAGUCAGUUGUGAAAGUUUGCGGCUCAACCGUAAAAUUGCAGUUGAAACUGGCAGACUUGAGUACAGUAGAGGUGGGCGGAAUUCGUGGUGUAGCGGUGAAAUGCUUAGAUAUCACGAAGAACUCCGAUUGCGAAGGCAGCUCACUGGACUGCAACUGACACUGAGGCUCGAAAGUGUGGGUAUCAAACAGGAUUAGAUACCCUUGUAGUC
This 460-nucleotide ribosomal RNA is filed under the name uncultured bacterium. Its description in RNAcentral is "partial 16S ribosomal RNA". It matches the Rfam family "Bacterial small subunit ribosomal RNA", at positions 338 to 795 of the family's 1533-position model. The record is from RNAcentral.